ACAGAAAUCUUCAACAAGGGAGAGGAGAGGCACGGAGUUGCUAAAAAUAGCAGCAUCUCUGAUCUUCCUUGAGGGGGUCAGUGGAGCCCAAGACUGGGGAGAAGGGAUGGAGUGGGCUGACAGGAGUGGGGACAGCAGCAACCCGAGCUGAGGCCUUAGGUACAUAUUCCAUAUGCCACUGCCCAGAAUGCACAGAGGGCACUGACACCCAGGGAUAGAUGGACAAGCCAGGCAGGCAUGCACAGACAAAGCUACCUGCAUGUCUAGGCUGCUCCCCCAUCCCCAGAAUCUUUUUUGUUUUUAAGAUUUACUUUAUUUUAUUUUAUAUGAGUACACUGUAGCUGUUUUCAGACACACCAGAAGAGGGCAUCAGAUCCCAUUACAGAUGGUUGUGAGCCACCAUGUGGUUGCUGGGAAUUGAACUUAGGACCUCUGGAAGAGCAGUCAGAGCUCUUAACCGCUGAGCCAUCUCUCCAGCUCCCACCCCCAGAAUCUUAAGGUUGCUGUGCAGGCUCAACCCUCACCCCUCAUACCCACCUCCUAACCUCAUCUUUGCUUUGACCUUCAAGGUCUCUGCUGAGCUGGAUGGAGGAACACCUUGAAUUGAGAGAGCUAAACUCCCCCCCCCCUCCGGAGCUGAGGACCGAACCCAGGGCCUUGCGCUUGUUAGGCAAGCGCUCUACCACUGAGCUAAAUCCCCAACCCCUAAACUUUCUUUCCCUAUCUUUUCACCUUUCUGUUGCUUGAAGCCCAAGACAGGAAAGGCCAAGGGAGGGCCAGAGUCAUUAUGAGAUACAGCAUGGUUAAGACUUCAGACACCAGCCAGCAGUCAGAGGCCACAUGAGUGUCACCCAGACCUGAGUAAUAGGCACAGUGGGGUAGAGAGAUAGAAGACUCUAUAAGAGCAGUAUAGAAAGGGGCUCUGCUAAGAGAUAGGCUCUGAAUGGGCCACAUAGGAGCAAGGAGAAAGCAAUCAGGUAAAUAAGUGUGCCCAUGUGUUUCUUUGUCAUGCCUUACUGGAGACUCCCUUCACAUUUUUGGCUGGAGAUAUCAGGGGUACCUUUGAACCUCAAAAUGUGACUUCAGUUUCUUUAGCCAUCCACAAAAUAGGGUGGGUGCCUUGGUGGGAGAGAAACUGCCAGCUGUUGAACCAGAUGUUUCAAUUCACCAGCACAUCUCCUGUCUGGAUAUAAAUAGUUUGUAUGACUAUGUCUGCAGAGCAGUGUGCCAGGUGAAGACCCUUAAAAGGUCCACAAACCCAGGCUGUCUCUGUGCCACUUAGUCUCAUGCUGCAGACCUUGAGCUGAUGCUUACCCCCGACUUGAGAGCUCAGCCCUGGCCUGGUUUCUUGGGUCAUCGGGUCCGGGCCCUCCAGUGCCUGACUGGUAAAGUGGCCUCCUCUUGGUGCCCUGCAUCUCUCGGGCUAUCUCUCCUCAAGUAGAGCUUCUAGCCCCUUCCAAGUCCCUACCCUGUCUGAUUUCCUUCCCUUUUCUAUGCUGUCUACAAAAGAGGUGGGAUAGAAUCUGGUGCCAUGAAUUCUCACUGGUACAGGGAGGUGACACAAUUCAGCCAAGGGCACACAGACACCAAGAGCCAGCCAGGGUUUAAUCGGGGGUCCUGGCUCUCUGAUGAGCUCUGUGCUGUUGGAAUUUUUCCUGAUAUACACUGUGGUUCCCCACACUGCUUGAUUCCCCUCUCCCUAGGCUCCAGAGACUCCCUAGACACCUGCUGGCUUGUGGGACCCUGGCCAGACACUCAGCAGGUGGCUGCUUAGGGGGACAAAGAGGCUGGUGAUCGGCUGCAGAGCUGGGAGGGAGGAGGGAGCAGGAAGAAGCUGAGAGGGCAGCAGUGUAGAUGAAUCUGGGCUGAGGAUGGUGAGAGCAGGAGGAAAACAGCCCGUACAUAAGAUGUAGAGAAACUCAAUGGUUUGGAGCUUUCCUAAAUUCUGUUCUGCCUGCCUGAUGAGAGGGAGGGAGGGGCCUGAUUGUAAAGAGCCUUUGAGGAGGGGAUGUGGUGGGGGAGGGGCCUCUGAGGGACACGAUGAGGUCAUUACCAGGGUAUGGCAAUUGUGGGUAAGCCUUUAGGGCUACACUUUGCAGGUGGAUACCCUCAACUUGGAUUAUGUGAUGUAUUUGGUUUGGUGACAAGCAGGAGGAACCCUGUACCAUAUUUGCGUGUUGAAAGCUCCAACAAUACCCAGAAAUGGGAAAGUUUCAUUAUGGUCUGGCCUGGGAACCUCAGAGACUUCCUGGGCCUUCACAGAAUGAAACAGUGAUUCCCUGCUACAGGUGAGAGACUGAGGUACAGAAAUCCGUCUGUCCCUGAAGUUCAGGGUAGUUGGAUCCUGUAGGUGUAAUUGGUUGUAUCUGACCCAUUCAAUUACUAUUAGAGGAGAAAAACAAAACAAAAACAAAAUAAAUAAAACCCAAAAAAAAACCAACACCCCAAAACAAACAAACACCACAAACAAACAAACAAACAAACAAACAAUCAAAAAACUAAAAGUCUCCAGUCUACGUAGAAGCAGUUUGAGCUGAUCUUAGUUAUUAAGGAUGUAACUUGUCUCUAAACUAAGUUUCUUGAGGUCGGGGUUUGUGUCAUAGUCUGCUUUUGAGAGGUACUGAAUAGAGGGAUUGUUGAAUAAAGAAUGGAUGUGUGGGUGAGUGAACAGUUGAGUUCUUGAUAGGUCAUAUUUGCUGGGUAAUCAGGAAAGGGGAGGCAGGCGAAUGGAAACAGAAGGACAGACCGACAUUUGGUAGAGGCAGGACCGGUUAUGGCGUGUAUGGGGUCUGGGCUUUAUUUAGCAUCCUUGCUGCAGCUCCUCCCCUCCUCCCAGGCAUACUCAGUCUCUGCUCAUCUCCUGGCAGGGCCCCUUGUUCCUGCUGGGCUCAGCCAGAACCUCCCACCUCACCCCUUCUCUCCCUGCCAGCCUCCCGGCCAGCAAGGCUGCAGGCUGUGCAGCCAGAGUCUGGGAUUGUUGUUGGAGACCUGGCAGGUUUGUUUGCUCCCAAGCCCUCUGAGAAAUCUCAACAAUCAAUGGCCAACAACACUCUGCCCGCAGCUGCAGAUUCGAUCUUCUCUUCGAAGGGCUGGCGGCCCGGGGGGAUUGCAGCAGACGCUACGAACCAUAACCAUAUGGCGAGGGACUUUGAGUCCCAAGUCAAAGUGCAGUUUCGCGGACCCCAGCAGGCGACCAGUAAAAGCGGAGAAUGACUUGAGCAUUUGAAGACUCCCGAGAUCACUUGGUUCAGACCCUUCCUGCUUCCCAUUCCUCUUUCCUCCAAACUCCCUUGCUGCUUACUUCGAGGCCAAGCGUUUCUUGACCGAGACCAAUUAAGUUGGGACUUAACUCGGCGUCCGGGGCUGGGGCAAACGGUGAGUUCCGCUAACUAGUCUGCGGCUCCCGGGUCGAUAGAACCCGGCAUGAAGGCAGAGCUGAAGAAAAGCAGCGCUCCGUGUGUGUGUGUGUGUGUGUGUGUGUGUGUGUGUGUGUGUGUGUGUGUAAGGAAAGAAUUUCAGGGAGGGCAGUCAGUCCCAGGACUUCAGAUACUGCAGCCCAGAGAAGAGCGAGGGGCUGGGCAGUGGGCUCUCAGGGUCCCCGAAUGUAUCCCCAGAAUUGUGCUCUAGGUUCCAAUUCUGACUUGAUAGCGUCAAGGCAGGGAUAGGUGAGAGACGUCCCAGUCCCGGUCCCACCACCGCCCGACCCAGUUCCUCUGCAGUGAGGAUACGAGGGACCCAGAAUAAGCGGCAAAGUCGAGCGAAGUUUGGAGAGCAGCAGGGGAGGCAGAGCGGCGGGCUGCCAGCUGGACCGUCCGGACUCCGCACCCGCGACCUGCCGUCCCCCCCCCCCCCCGCAACGCGCCCGGGCGCCCCUAGACGCCUGGAGUGGAGCGAGGGAGCGCGCGGGUGAGCGCGUGUGUGCGGGGAGGGGGUGGCGUGAUGAAUUGCAGCAGAGAAAUCCCAUUAGAUCCGGGGAGAUGAUUAAAGGCGAGGUCUCGGCCGGGCGCGAAUGGCGGGAGCCGCGGCGGCUUCCCGCCCGUGGAGCUCGCGCCCCGCCCGGCUGGGUCGGCGCCGGGGACAGCGCAGCCGGCGGGACGCGGUGCUUGGGAGGAACAACAGGAUGCACAGAGCAAGGCGCCGGGAUGGUCCUGCUUUCCUACCCCUGGGAGUCCGCGCCCGCCCCCGUCCUGUGGCCGGACGCCCGGGUCCCUUACCGUGAGCCAGGAGCGCCAGCAGCGAGGGCAGGAGCAGCAGGGCUGCUGGGCGCAUGGUGCUGCUUGCGGCCGCGCCCCGGGUUGGGGUCGCGGUAGGGGGACUGGGGACUGGGAGAGGCGUGGGCGCGGGAGGCAGAGCCGGUCCCGGGGAGAGCAGCGGGGCCGCCGCCGCCGCCGCCGCCGCCGCCAGCGCCUGACAGAAUCAGCACCACGGCCAGCGCCUGGCGUCGGCGCCCGGGAUCGCCGCGCGGGGCUGGGGGCGGGGGCGCAGGAGGAGCGGCUUACCGUAAAGUCUCAAGCAAAGGCGCAGAAGACCCAGCGGCAAGAGCACAGGCUUUCGAGCCCCGGGGAAAGGACUGCCCUGCUAAUGUGGCACACACAGCCCCGCCUUCCCGAGCUGCCCACGCCCAGCCAAGCCUACCACCCUCUCCCGGGUUAGUAGUCUACCAAGGUGUUAGGUUCUAGUCGGAUUCUCCAUUAAAGAGAGCAUCCCCUACCCACCUCUCUCUCCACCCCACCUUGGUACCUGACAGCUACAAGGGUAACCUGGAAAGAUGCACAUCAGUGAGGCAGCUGGUGAGGCCCGCCUGCCCUUGUGGCAGCUCCAUCCUGGGCCGAUAAUGAAGACGGCUUCUGAGCGUACAAAGGACAAUAAAUUAUUACUUUGCGCUCAAUAAAUGCCAGGGCUCCAGGCAGCUGCAUCAGCAGCAAACUGUGCUCACAGAAAAGCUUAAUUAUCCUGAUAUUAUAGUUAAAAGCCAGUGGCACUUGUGUCCUGGGGAGACAUUCUUCACUUGGUAGGAGGCAACCUGGGUCAAGCUGUGGGGUGCUGAAGGCAGCACCCUGGGUCCCCAUGUAGCCAUGGGUUUCCAGUCCUUGCUUCCUCUGUAGAACAAGAACAUUCACAGUAACAUAGAUCUUUUAUGCCAGUACCAACUCUGGUCUUGGAACUGAUGGAGAAAAUGAAUAUCAGGGGUCUUUAUGGCUGUUUUAGUUGUAAAACUUUAUUUGAUAUUUCUUUUUCAGUGCUAGGAACCAGGGCCUGGCACACGAUUUCAUACUUGAUAGACAGGGGCUCUACCAUUGAGCUACACCUUCAGCCCACUAGGAUUGUUUCAGAUGGAGGAAAACUUGAAGAAGGGGCAGUAACCAAAAUAGUUGGAAUAGUCAAUAGCACAGAAAAAUAAGAUCCCACAACUCUGUGACCUGAGGAGCUCCCGUAAGCCACGGGCCAACAAUAGGCUAGCCAGGGCUGUGCAGAACGUGAGGCUACUAUUCAGACCCAAGGGACAUGAUUAGGCUUGUUAUGGGAAUUUCAGUGGACUCAAUGGGACAUAACCAUGUGGCUGACGUUAAUAUCUGUUGAGGAAGAAAGGGCAGCUUAAUGUUUAGUUCUUUCCGUGUGAACUUGGGUCAAACCCCCAUAAUUUGUCCAUGGCACUUCCCCCAUCUCAUCCUGGGAACAAGUGACUUCUGCCCUUAGUUUCAUUCCUUGGAGGGCGUUUUGGUCCUUGCAGUCUUCCAGCUUUGCUCCUUUGAUUCUCUGUAGAUCCUUUUGUGGGCUCUGGGGAGCCAUCUUGCUUGUUGUAAAGAAUCCCGGGCAGCAGGUGGCCUGUGGAAUUAUCUGGGGAAGAUGCUGGGAGAGGAUUUUGGACAGUUGUCUGAAGAACCGGAAGAGAAAGGAGAGUAGCAGAAGGAAUGGCAAGUAGGGGAGCCUUUGAAGAGAAGAUCAGAAAUGAGGAGAAGCCAGGAGAGAGGGGCAGAGGGAAGGGAGGACAAGAAUUGCCCACAGAAUUGGAGAACAGGCACAGAGGUGACUGACUGAAGUUUGGGAAUGGGUGAGUGCCAUGAGAGCCUUCCUCACAAACAGGCAUCCCAGUGUCCCUCAGGACUACACAGCUCUGGAAAAAGGCAAUGAGCCACAAGGCAGGAUGAACCUGAUCUAUCGGGAUGGUUCACCCUGACUUAAAGGCUGCUGGACUCCACAGUCUCACUCAACCAUCUUGGCAGUAGGGCUCUGGAUGAGCUGGGCACUACCUAUAAGAAGAAAGGUAAGCAAACUCUCUGGGAACCUGCAACAUGACCUUCCUGACUGCUUGGAUUACAAGAGAGAGUCCAUUGUAGACUGUAAUCCCAGAAUUCCACUCUGCCCUGAACCCAGAGGAUGGGUUUGUACUGCAUGCUUAGAAUAAUAAUACAGCUUGCUGUCACUCUUUACUGAAGAUACGGUAAAUGUGCUUCUGUGGAACAGGUUCCUAGCAUAGCUGAGGCAGAACCUGGACCAAUCUAGGGAGCAGUAGAGUUUUUUGGUAAGCAUCUUUUCUCGUGCCUUUCAAAGGGCCCAUUCUUCCUAGACAUUGGCAUUACCGGUAACGGAGGACAAUAAAAUGUCCAAGGGGACAUCCAUCUAUAUCAAGGCUUACAGUCUGAGAGUUUACUCAGUUCACACACACAACCUGAAAAAGUGACAUGGGCCAGUGAGAUAGCUCAGUUGGUAAAAGGCACUGGCUGUCAAGUCUAAUAACUGGAGUUCUAUUCCGCACGCCCACAUGGGGAGGGGAGAACCAAUUCCUGUAAGUAAUUCUCUGGCUUCUGUACAGAUACACACACACCACACACACACACACACACACAGACACACACACAGACACACACACACACACACACACACACACACAGAGAGAGAGAGAGAGAGAGAGAGAGAGAGAGAGAGAGAGAGAGAGAGAGAGAGGAGAGACCUGUGAUGACCCACAAGGCUCCUUUACUAUGUCUACCUAGCUCUUUGCUCUCAGCAGAUCCUGUCUAAUUUUUCACUGCAUUAUCUGUUUUGUUGACUUGGUAGUUGCGCGGCCUAUGUGCUCUCUACUUAAACCUCGUCCAGUGACUAGUACAUCCUAAAUGUUCAAUGAAUGUUGUACAUAAAUGGGGAUGCCUAAAGCCUGAGGCAGGCCACAGAUGCAGUAUGAAAGCUGUGAAAUAGGGAGAUGGGGGUGACUUUGCUCUAAGUCAGUGAGGGCUUCACACAGCAGAUGGGUGAAACUGUGUUGAAUCUGCCCAUGUUUCAGUGAAUGGAGGAGGGAAGAGGGCAGGGUGGGGGUGUGGUUUAUGUAGCCAGCAUCAUAAUGGAAACUGCCAGGUGGCUGAGGUCAGUAAGGAGACUGGUUCUACAGAGCAGAGCUGCCCCUCCUGCCCCCGUAGGAAAGAUCGAGGAAUGCUGGAGUUACCUGUGACUAGGCUGUAGGUUUUUGAUUUAAGUGGCGGAUAAUGAAGAGAUUACUUCGUUACGAAGGUACACAAAGCAGACUAUAUCAGCCUGGCACCAUUUGGGUGAGUUGUGGGCACUGUGGGAAGAACUGUAUGUACUUCACUACGAGCCCUGGAGGAAGACUACCACAGACUGAGGUUGAAAGCCGGAGACGGGAUUACUAGCCAUCUCUGAGACAACAGUGGAUCUCUAACUCACAUCCCUCAGAAGCUGGCCUCACUUUUCCAAUUCUUUUUUUUUUUUUUCUUUUCUUUUUUUUUCGGAGCCGGGGACCGAACCCAGGGCCUUGCACUUGCUAGGCAAGCGCUCUACCACUGAGCUAAAUCCCCAACCCCCACUUUUCCAAUUCUAAACAACCUGUCAACUCGUGGGAUCACAGGGGCAUCAGUGACUUAUUUUGAAGUCAGCUGGGAUGACCCUUGCUCUCUGAGCAAGAAGAGGUGGGCGGUAAAGAAAACCCCAAACCAAGAAAGCCUAGAUCCACUCUUCUGUAAGACAGCUUUCAGAUCAGAACAUCCAAAGGGGUUUUAGGGUUUGGGGGGAGCAGAGGAAGGGGCUGUCACUUCAUCCCAGAGACGGUAGGGGCACACAGUCUUCUGGUCACAACCACCAUCAUCUUUGAACAAGUCUCCAGACUCAGUGGCUUCUGGUACGGCCAGGGAUGUCAGGCCUGAGGUCCCGGGUUACCCAAAGUCAAUCACCUGAGGCUUCUGGCUCUGAGCAUUGGCGCCUACUCCAGGAAUGGGACCAGAUCUGUGGCAAGAGCCUAGGGUGCCCGGAGACAGCAGCAGAAAUCGGUUUGAUGUGAGCUACUUUCCAUCUCCAAACCCCAGGCCUCCAGCCUGCCCACCACCUCCAGUGGAGGCCUUUGAUCCUCUACAGCUCCAUAAAUGUUUAAUGCCACUGGCUGGGCAGAAAUGAGGCAGGUGCCGGAGCAUGCAGACUGGGGAUAGGACUUGAGAUCCAUCCUGUUGGUGAAAUCAUUUGCAUGCUUGGGAGCCCUGGGAUGGGUGGGAGGAGCCCCUCCCCUGCCAUGUGGAGGAAGAAGUCUCAGGGUUCAAGUUUGUGGCACUAAUAAGUGAAGCUCUUUGAAAACUGCGGUAGGGCUUGAGACUAAAAUGUUGUAGAAGCCCAACUCUUUCCCCGCCCCCCAGCCCCCUACCUUUCCACCCCACCCCUACCCCCCCCACUCGGUUUGAUUGAAGGAGAAAGAUAGAAAGUUAAAUGACAAUCAAAUGCAAAUACAGCUCAGCAAACACCACAGCAAUUACCAGGCUCAGGAAACACACGGCUUUUGCAGGCAGCAGGGGUUGGCAGUUUGGAAGCAGGGGCCUGUGCAGAGGUGGUGGGCAUGGGGCUAUUUUAAUGGACAGUUAAAUAGAUGCAAAAACCUCCCAUCUAGUUUGCAUACAUGCUGAUGAGUGGAACCCAGGGGCCCAGGGAGGUUAUGCUACCUUCACAGCUGCCCGUGGCUUGUUUCAGAUGGGAAGGGGCCCUGAGUGCUUGGGAGGCCAAGGCAAUUUGAGUGCCUGGCCAGUCUCUUUGGUCCUACGCACAAGCUGGUACUGAAGUAUGAGGAUUGAAGUGGAAGGGAGCCCAUGGGGUCCUCCAUGAAAGGGCUCCAGGCACUGGCCUUCCGACAGCCCAGAGGCUCUGGUAAGAGUGGCCUUCUCUUCAAUAUUUGCAUAAUGCUUUGCAUCUCAUUUGAAUGCUAUUAAUUUGGUGUCAGGCUAGGUUGGCACGGGUAAGAAAGAGAACAGCUGGCCUUCUCCCUCCCCUCUGUACCCCAGGGCCUACUCUUCUCAUAGCCCUCCCCAGCCUUGGAGAGAGAGGCCUUCACUCCCCACCUCCCUCCCCACCAUGUUCCCAGACACACAGAAAGUCUUUUAGGCAAACCAGUUCCUAAAAGCCAAGGCCACCUGGAUAUGGUGGCCAGUUGAAGAAGGAACAGAAAUGGUCCCCAAGAGCACCCUUGCCAGAGCCAAAAGCACCAUGGGAGGAUGGUGGGGGCUUUUGUCUCCCCAAGUGAUCAAGGCAGCUUAGCUUGGAAAGGGUCCAAAGAUAAUAACCAGGAGAGGGAGGGAACAAAGACAGGUGAUCAUCCCAGAGAAAUAUGGAAGGCUCUGGAAAUAAAAUCCUCUGAACUCAGUAGUCCUGGUGCUUGAACUGACAUAAGACGCAUCCGCCAGAGGCAUGGGUUUAUGGUGCUGCUCAGGGGUUGGGACUCAGUACCAGGUUGAUGACGAUGUAGUAAGGAAAUGGGUCACCUGGUGGACUGAGCUCCAGGGAAGGUUGGAGAGGCUUCAGGGUCACCAUUUAGAUGCCUUUGGUCAAUAGGCACCAGGGAUUCCAUGGUGAUCUAGAGAUGGUGACAGGAAGUGUCAGGCUUGCCAGUUGGCUAAAACACCCUCUCAAACAUCUGAGUUCUGAGAUAGGGAUGUGGCUCAGUUGGUAGAGUGCCUGCCUAGCAUGCAUGAAUCCCUGGGUUCAAUGUCCAGCACUACACAUGCUGGGCACGAUGCUACAAGCCUCUCAUCCCAGUCAUCCCUCAGAUGGUGGAGGCAGGAGGAUCAGAAUUCAAGGUCACCCUCAACCAUAUAUCCGAUGGGUUAUAUGCAACCCUGUCUCAAAGCAUCCUCCUCGCUACACAUUUGAGCUCUUUCUCUGGGGAAGGGGGCGUAGCUAGCAUACCCCCCUCAGAUACAGAAGUGGUAAGGCCAGCACCACUCGCUUUUGUUGGCACCAGGCAGGAAAGGUUGGUGUUAAAAACACCCCAGCCGGGGUGAUCUUACACCUGACCCCAUGACACUGUCUCUGAUAGGUGCUCAGCCUGAGCCAGGGUGAAGGCAAAAGAGUGUUUGUUCUUAUGCCAGAGGCAGGACUGGUGGGGGGUGGGGAGUGGCUUGAAAAAAAAAUGUGAGAGAGUAAUCAUGUUUCCCCUUCCGAGCAAACCCUGGGAUGAAGCUUUGCAACUGCAGAAGGCAUGGACUUGUAGCUGAUUCACGGUUUGCAGAAAGGCCUGAAGUAUUUCCUUUUUUAAAAAGAUUGCCACAUGCAUUGAAAGCAAAUUUACAAUAGAUCUGUCUAUUCUCCAUUUAAAGGAAGUCAGGCCCUGAGUUCAGUGGAUAUUUUUUUUUCUUCUUCUUUACCUUUAAAAAUAAUAAUAGCACCAUUUAUCAUUUGCUGUUUGAGGGCAUUAAGCCCGGGAUUUGACGACACCUUCACAACAAUCCUAUGAGGCAGGUACAAAGCUGUCAUUGUCUCCAUUGUACAGAUAGGGACAUUGAGGCCCCAGGAGGCUUGGUGAUUCACAGCCACUUAAUGCUAUAGUUGUGCUAUAUUGCAAAGGCAGGGAAGAAAGGCGUAUGUCAGUGGGCCUUUGUGGAGCGUGGCAGGAGGAUCACAGGUUUCUGAGCCUGGACCUCUGCCCAGAGUUCACUUGCAGGGGUCUGGGCCUAGAGGGUCACCCAGGAGCAAGGUCAGGAGGGGAGUUGGUUGGAACAGGUAGGGACGGUUGUUUCUAUAAUUCAUCCCGUGUAGAUAUCCAAUUAAAUGGCCAGCACUUAGCUGGGAUCCGAAUCAGACUUCAAGAGCUCCAUGUCUCCAGAGACAGCCCCCAGAAGCAUGUGGCUGAAUGAGAAGCUGGAGAUGUGGCUGUGUGGCAGAGAACAAAGAGCAAAGCUCAUGUGGCCUCUAGGUUCCCCAUGGGCCUCUCCUCCUGUCUCCGUCUCCAUUCACCCUUCACUAUAGAGCCCAGCCAUUCCUUACUGUCUCAGUCGCUUGUCUACAGAACGAGGAAGCAUUUAUUGAGCACUCUGUGUAUGCCAGGACCACGCUAGCCCUCAAGGAGCUUCCCAGCCUUGGACAGAAGAUAGAGUCCUAUCAACCAUGGCUGUCUCUACAGGGCUCUGGAGGCCCUUGAGACCUAGUGUCUCCCUUGGACCUUAUACUCGGGAACAAUGGUACAUAUCGCUUUCAGUGAGAUCUUCUAUCUAAAGAUCUUCCUGUUGUCUAACCCUACUCCUUCCUGCUGUAGAAGUAGCCCACCCCUACAGCCCUUCAGUGUGGGAAUGGGUUUCUGUUGCUCCUUUUCCUGGACACUUCCUUUGACUGUCAGCACAGCACUGUCCCAGGAAACCCUAAGUGGAGUGUCAGAAGCAUUCGUUCUCCCUCAUGAUCCCUAAGAAGCCAGCUGCAAGCCUGCCUCCCGCCUCUUCAUUUUCUAGGCCGGAAUAUAGGACACAAAUCUCAAAUGGUGCUCAAUUCUGGCUGUGCGUUCCCAUCCCCGACUCCUCUCCUUGAACUACUUGUCCUCUGAUUGUGACAUCACAAUGGUUUCUAUGGCAACCAAUUGUGAGGUCACUGGUCCUUAAAGCCACAGACUCUGUGGGUCCAGACAAUGCCUGGAGAAAAGGAAGGCUAUAAAAUGCAUACCCAAGACUUAGAGAUCCCUCUCCCAUCAGAAACAGCAGGGCUUCCCAACCUACGAGGGGAGGGCUGUUUCUCCACAGUGGUGACUUGCAAGGACAAAACCUGUGUGUGUGAGAGAGACAUUGCUCUCCCAGAGGCUGCAACAACAGGCCCCAGUUCAAGACAUCUCAGUCCUGUGCUUGCCUCAGGCAUGGUUCAGAGUCUCCACUUCUUCACCUAUAAAUGGGAAAUCACCUGAUUUCCAGAUAUUCAUUCAGCAAGAAGACCCAUGGGAGGACAUGACGUGUGUGCAGCUCAAAGAAUGCAGGUACUCCAGUCCCUCGCUGCAGCCACCAGCCUCCCCCUUCCCUCAAGGAAAGCUUUAGGCUGUCGCCACCACAGCAGGAGCCACCACCAGAUCCAUUGCUUAUUUCAAGUCCUCCUAAAGCUUGUUGAGUUCUUAACUUAUUAAAGAUAAGCACAUGGAAA
Molecule: non-coding RNA, 12378 nt
Organism: Rattus norvegicus (Norway rat)
Lineage: Eukaryota; Metazoa; Chordata; Mammalia; Rodentia; Muridae
Source: RefSeq, a predicted model, not a curated record